GAAGAACCACAAGGGAGACUGCAUCUUGCUCUCUAUCAAAAUCCAGAAUGAAAAUGAUACUAUAUCGUUUUGCUUUCGCAGGUAGGAAGUUUUGCUUCAUUGUGAUGAGGUUCUGGCAUAUGUCCACUGCUGAUGUUCCUGAGGACCAGGAGAGUACCAAGAUCUUCAAAAUGGCCACCACUGAAGAAGACCGCCCACAGAAGAAGAUAGUGACAGCUGUCUAUGAGUAAGCAUGGCAUCCAAGACUAAUCAAUAUUCAUUUCAU
RNAcentral lists this long non-coding RNA (265 nucleotides) under Oncorhynchus kisutch (coho salmon). RNAcentral's name for it is "lncRNA (ENSOKIG00005026990.1)". The record is from RNAcentral. Lineage: Eukaryota; Metazoa; Chordata; Actinopteri; Salmoniformes; Salmonidae.